AGCGAACGCUGGCGGCAGGCUUAACACAUGCAAGUCGAACGGGCAUCUUCGGAUGUCAGUGGCAGACGGGUGAGUAACACGUGGGAACAUGCCCUUCGGUUCGGAAUAACUCAGGGAAACUUGAGCUAAAACCGGAUACGCCCGCAAGGGGAAAAUUUAUUGCCGAAGGAUUGGCCCGCGUCUGAUUAGCUAGUUGGUGAGGUAAAUGGCUCACCAAGGCGACGAUCAGUAGCUGGUCUGAGAGGAUGAUCAGCCACACUGGGACUGAGACACGGCCCAGACACCUACGGGUGGCAG
Molecule: ribosomal RNA, 297 nt
Filed under: uncultured Pseudomonadota bacterium
Lineage: Bacteria; Pseudomonadati; Pseudomonadota
Description: uncultured proteobacterium partial 16S ribosomal RNA
Rfam family: Bacterial small subunit ribosomal RNA
Source: RNAcentral